This 440-nucleotide ribosomal RNA is filed under the name uncultured bacterium. Its description in RNAcentral is "partial 16S ribosomal RNA". It matches the Rfam family "Bacterial small subunit ribosomal RNA", at positions 338 to 795 of the family's 1533-position model. The record is from RNAcentral.
CCUACGGGUGGCAGCAGUGGGGGAUAUUGCACAAUGGGGGAAACCCUGAUGCAGCGACGCCGCGUGUGGGAAGACGGUCCUCUGGAUUGUAAACCACUGUUCCCAGGGACGAAGAUGACGGUACCUGGGGAGGAAGCUUCGGCUAACUACGUGCCAGCAGCCGCGGUAAUACGUAGGGCGCGAGCGUUGUCCGGAAUUACUGGGUGUAAGGGGACCGUAGGCGGGACUGCAAGUAGGGGGUAAAAUCUUCCGGCUCAACCGGUAGCCGCACUCGAAACUGGAGUUCUUGAGUGAAGUAGAGGCAGGCGGAAUUCCUGGUGUAGCGGUGAAAUGCGUAGAUAUUAGGAGGAACACCAGUGGCGAAGGCGGCCUGCUGGGCUGUUACUGACGCUGAGGCUCGAAAGUGUGGGGAGCAAACAGGAUUAGAUACCCUAGUAGUC